AAGAAGAUUCAUAUUUUUUAACCAUUCAAUAAUUUAUUUCUUUAGAUCAUUUUUAUAAACAAAAUAUUAAUCAAAAUUUCAAUGAAAAUGUAAUUUAGAUUAUGAUUUGGGCUGUGAUGUUUUAAAUAUGGGUUGGGCCCAAAAAAAAAACGUUUUUAUCAAAACAAACUCAUUAGGUAUAUGUUAAUUUUUUUUCCGGGAACAAACGAACAGUUUUCUUUGUCACCGACAAAAAUUGAUCAAAAAAUAUUUUUCGAUCAAAACAAACAUAAGAUCCAGACGACAUGUUCUUCUGAUUCCAAAUCAAACCUAAGAAUAUGAGUGCAGAUCGUAAGAGAAAAACGAACGGGAGACGCGUCAAGCUAAGAAACAUUUCAUAUAAGAGUAGUUUAUAAAAAUUCAUGUCUUAACACACGGGCUUCAUAGGAGAAUACGAACAGAGAAGAUGGAAGAGGAUUUAAGAUUAUCGGAGUGUACAUGGUAAGUAUCUUUUGUUAAUUAUUCAAUUAAUUAGAGAAUUUGGUAACUGUAUAUUAAUUUGGUGAUGAUGUUUCUUGUCAAAUUUCAUUUCAAUGUUUGCAAAUUGACCUCUUGGCGGGCCUUGAAGAAUCUGCCAUUGUUCAUUCAUGAGCAAUAUAAAGGUGUUUCUCAGUUUUGUUAAUUAUUUAUUUGGUUUGUAAGUGUGUAUAUUUAUUGGAAUUGGCAUAACAGCUUAUGUAUAAUUCCGUCAAACAUAGAAGAAGUUUAUUGGACCUAUAAUGGAGUUGAUAGAUCGGGUAGUUCUAUCAAAGGAGUCUGGUGAGGUUGCUUCUACAGAGAACCUUUUCUUUGGCAAGGCAGUGGAGAAGGAAGAAAGUGAUUUUCGUGAUCAGAGCCCAAAUGUUGGUGAAAGAACGAUCAGAAGCUAUGAAGAAAGAAGUUUCUCUCCCACGUUCAGCAAGUGAAUCCAGACAACAACUCACGGAUCACUUGGAAUGGAAGUUGCAAGUCCGAGAAAAGGGAUGUUGUUAUAUAGACAGCAUUGUUUUACUAACGGCAUAAACAGAUCAUGGUAACUAAUUACGAAGGCAGCGGACGGAAAUUAUGAGGCAAGGUAAUCUCAAGCAAAAAGAUAUGUUACUUGGAGAAAAAUAUAACGUGGAAAGAAAGGUAGUUAGAGUGGAACUGGUGACAAUGGAAUUCGCUGUGAUGGACAUCUUGUAUAGAUGCCUAGUUGGUCUGUAUAUCCCGGUUGCUGGGUAAACCAAGAAAUUCUCGAGGAACUUCCAUUGAUCAACCUGUAAGUUCUUAACACGGCCAAGGAAGGCACUCUUACAGGUACAAUGUAUCUCAGAUCCCUACAAUAACAAUUAGAACUACAUUGAUUAGUCUUUGGCAACAAAAAAUUCUAGAAAACAAAUAGAUUCAAACAAAAAAACAUACCAUCCUAUCUUCAAGUAUGAACUCGAAAGUGUCUUCUCCAGAAUAGUUUGAAUGUUGUGUCCACGAAUGAAGAACUUUCACUUCAACCUUCCAAGUAGUUUUAUAUGGUUUGAGAUUGUUCAACAUAGUUA
Molecule: long non-coding RNA, 1553 nt
Organism: Brassica napus (rape)
Lineage: Eukaryota; Viridiplantae; Streptophyta; Magnoliopsida; Brassicales; Brassicaceae
Exons: 6
Source: RefSeq, a predicted model, not a curated record